AGUGAAGAUUAUACUUCCUCCUAUACCCAUUCCCAAUCUGCACAUCCUGACCAGUUAUCCGGGUACAUAUGAUGCCAUAGUCCAAGUCUGGAACCAAGUUGGCCAGGAAAUGUUUUGUCUCAACAUCACCGCGGAGGUGCAAGAGGUCUACAGCGAGAUGGUCAACGACAUAAUGCAUUAGAGGGUUAAUGAUAUCAUGCAUUAGAGGGUUAAUGAUAACAUGCAUUAGAGGGUUAAUGACAUCAUGCAUUAGAGGGUUAAUGAUAUCUUACAUUAGAUGGGUAAUGAUAUCUUACAUUAGAUGAGUAAUGAUAUCUUACAUUAGAUGGGUAAUGAUAUCAUGCAUUAGAGGGUUAAUGAUAUCAUCGUGAGCUUGAGGGUUGAUGUCUUGAGUUAGAUGGUUAAUGUCAGCUUGAAUUAAAGGGUUAACAACAUCUUACACUAGAGGGUUAACGACUUCAUGCGCUAGAUGGUUAAUAAAAUCUUGAAUUAGAGGGGUUGAAGACAUCGUGCACUAGAGGGUGAAUGAUACCAUGUGUUAGAGUGUGAAAGAACUGCUCAGAGAGUCAAUGUCAUCUUACUCAAACAAUCAUCAAAAGAAUGUAAAGACACAGCAACCAAUAGCACAUUUACAUUUAUUAAAGAAUAAAGAUUUUUUUUUUGUU
This is a long non-coding RNA of Physella acuta, 665 nucleotides long. RefSeq lists it as uncharacterized. NCBI's taxonomy places the organism in Eukaryota, Metazoa, Mollusca, Gastropoda, Physidae. The record is from RefSeq and is a predicted model, not a curated record.